GGGCGAGUGGUGGAACUGGCAGACACGCGGCGUUCAGGUCGCCGUGAGAGCAAUCUCGUGGAGGGUCAAAUCCUCUCUCGCCCA
Molecule: transfer RNA, 84 nt
Filed under: Candidatus Yanofskybacteria bacterium RIFCSPLOWO2_02_FULL_47_9b
Lineage: Bacteria; Candidatus Yanofskyibacteriota
Description: tRNA-Leu
Source: RNAcentral